GUUGAACGCUGGCGGCAGGCCUAACACAUGCAAGUCGAGCGGAUGAAGGGAGCUUGCUCCUGGAUUCAGCGGCGGACGGGUGAGUAAUGCCUAGGAAUCUGCCUGGUAGUGGGGGAUAACGUCCGGAAACGGGCGCUAAUACCGCAUACGUCCUGAGGGAGAAAGUGGGGGAUCUUCGGACCUCACGCUAUCAGAUGAGCCUAGGUCGGAUUAGCUAGUUGGUGGGGUAAAGGCCUACCAAGGCGACGAUCCGUAACUGGUCUGAGAGGAUGAUCAGUCACACUGGAACUGAGACACGGUCCAGACUCCUACGGGAGGCAGCAGUGGGGAAUAUUGGACGAUGGGCGAAAGCCUGAUCCAGCCAUGCCGCGUGUGUGAAGAAGGUCUUCGGAUUGUAAAGCACUUUAAGUUGGGAGGAAGGGCAGUAAGUUAAUACCUUGCUGUUUUGACGUUACCAACAGAAUAAGCACCGGCUAACUUUGUG
This 484-nucleotide ribosomal RNA is filed under the name uncultured bacterium. Its description in RNAcentral is "partial 16S ribosomal RNA". It matches the Rfam family "Bacterial small subunit ribosomal RNA", at positions 28 to 507 of the family's 1533-position model. The record is from RNAcentral.